AGAAAGUCUGCGAAGAUGAAUCAUUAACAAAAAUUGUGGAAAACAUGCGUAUUUGCCAGCAGUCAAAAAUUUUGACGUUAAAACUUGGCACUGAAGCAGCUCAUGAGCAUGAGCAUGGACUAUUGAAUGAUACUGCAUUUCUCCUGAACCUGCUGCAUUUCUCAGAGCCUGCUGAUCUCCAAGAGGAAGCCCUGAUUGGUUUCAUCCUUUGCCUUCCACCAGCCUUUGUGAACAGAUCAAACAUUAACCAGAAAGAAAAUUAACAUUGUUUUGGCCAAAGCAGUGUGGGUGCAAGGGCUUGAGGGCACAGUGAGAAGCAGAGGAAGAAGGAGGAAGAGGAGGGUACCAGCCCUCCUGUGGGCAAACUGUCCAAUUAACUUGUUUGGAUUACUGAUUCACAACAUGACACCUCUGUCACCUCCAGCAAGAAGAUGGUAACCCAGAUCUGGUGGGUGGAGAUGUCUGAAGCUCUCAGGGUCAUCUUUAGCUUUUCUGGCAGCAGAUUGUUGUAGCUACUGGAUGAUUGGUUUGCAUCAGCCUGGAGAAGAUAAGAUAUUAGCUAUAUAGCCAAUACAUCCUUGUUACCUGGGGAAGAAAGCAUUGGACUGUUGCCAAAAAUUCAGUAAAAAUCAAAAAACUCCUUGACAUCAAUUUACCAUUAAGAAGAAGGCAUUCUUUAUUUCUCCAGAUGCACAAGAGGAUAUCUCCUCCAAAAUGUAGAGAUAUUCAUAGAAUGCCUGUCCUCUCUGACCACAGAAAUCACACAUUUGGAAGAACAUAAGAGAGGUGCAGGAGUGCAUGGGUUGAGGGGAAUAUGAACUUUUUAAACUGGCUUUGCUAUUAAGAAAGGGUAAGGUUGAACAUCCACAUCAGCUCACAUUCAUCACCUCUGGGCCAUGCCCUCCCACCCAUAUAUUCCUUACCUCUUUCAUCACCAGUGAUGCACAGGAAGCUGAUUCAUCUCAAGUUUCCUGUGGCAAAAAAAAAAAAUAGAAAAAGAGCUUAAGGUAUGAAGGAGAUGCUCCCUUGUUAGCAUGCAAGUAUGUGAUGAGCAAACCUCUAAGUACUGCUGAUUCCUCUGAGACAACAGCAAUUGGAUGAGACAAUCCAUGGGGCUUUUGACUAUCUCCUUGGAUCCAAAAUUAUUUUCUCAACACAUGGUUAGAAUGGGAGCUUACUGGGAUUAUUUGGAAACCUGCAAAGCAUCAUCCAUGUAGAUUUUGUGCUGAAGCAGACAUAUUGGAACCAGUAGGUAUUUAUAAUAAGCUAAAAAGAGCUUUUGUUGGAAAAUAGUAAAAAGAUGUGGAAUUAAAGAGAACAAGUGAUAAAUAUGAGAAAUGUGAGUUGGAGUCACAUGUAUGGAAGGUAUAUGAAAUAGCACUAAGCACAGUGCCAGUAACUUUGACUAAUCAAAUGUCUGUAUAAUGAGGAAAGGUGAGUGAAGUCAUAGCAAUAUUCUUGUUGCUCAAAAAGAGGAGCAGAAAUCUCUAUCAAUCUGUAUCAAAUCUGUCUCCUGGGUACUCUUACAGUUCUUACGAGCUGCAGGAAAGUGUCUCCAGCUUCAGAAGAGGAUGUUUGUGCUUUUCAGGCGAUCUUGCUGAGAUGAAUAAACAAAUAGGGCCAGGAAAUGGUCUUUUUUGA
This 1641-nucleotide long non-coding RNA is filed under the name Cyanistes caeruleus (blue tit). Its description in RNAcentral is "lncRNA (ENSCCEG00000010644.1)". Lineage: Eukaryota; Metazoa; Chordata; Aves; Passeriformes; Paridae. The record is from RNAcentral.